This 223-nucleotide unclassified non-coding RNA is filed under the name Hevea brasiliensis (rubber tree). The record is from RNAcentral. Lineage: Eukaryota; Viridiplantae; Streptophyta; Magnoliopsida; Malpighiales; Euphorbiaceae.
AAGGAUAUUAUUUGUAAGGAUAAACCAUCUUGCCUCUAGAACUUAAGACAAGUAAUCAUGGACCACUGCAAAAAUUAAUCUGUAAUGUUUUAGCUUUCUUUUUUUAACUGACAUUUUCUUCUUUGUACAGGAAGAUGAGUUUCUCUAUGCUUUAAUCUCAAAGUUUGCCUGAUUUCUAUGAACAAUUAUUUAACUGAUACUUUUUAAUUGUGAUUAGAGGUGG